AUUGAACGCUGCGGCAUGCCUUACACAUGCAAGUCGAACGGCAGCACGGGAGCAAUCCUGGUGGCGAGUGGCGAACGGGUGAGUAAAGUAUCGGAACGUGCCCAGUCGUGGGGGAUAACGUAGCGAAAGUUACGCUAAUACCGCAUACGAUCUAUGGAUGAAAGCGGGGGAUCGCAAGACCUCGCGCGAUUGGAGCGGCCGAUAUCAGAUUAGGUAGUUGGUGGGGUAAAGGCUCACCAAGCCGACGAUCUGUAGCUGGUCUGAGAGGACGACCAGCCACACUGGGACUGGGACACGGCCCAGACUCCUACGGGAGUCAGCAGUGGGGAAUUUUGGACAAUGGGCGAAAGCCUGAUCCAGCCAUGCCGCGUGCAGGAUGAAGGCCUUCGGGUUGUAAACUGCUUUUGUACGGAACGAAAAGGUUUGGGCUAAUAAGCUGAGCUCAUGACGGUACCGUAAGAAUAAGCACCGGCUAACUACGUGCCAGCAGCCGCCGUAA
RNAcentral lists this ribosomal RNA (499 nucleotides) under uncultured bacterium. RNAcentral's name for it is "partial 16S ribosomal RNA". It matches the Rfam family "Bacterial small subunit ribosomal RNA", at positions 30 to 523 of the family's 1533-position model. The record is from RNAcentral.